This 426-nucleotide ribosomal RNA is filed under the name uncultured bacterium. RNAcentral describes it as "partial 16S ribosomal RNA". It matches the Rfam family "Bacterial small subunit ribosomal RNA", at positions 354 to 796 of the family's 1533-position model. The record is from RNAcentral.
GUGAGGAAUUUUCCGCAAUGGGCGAAAGCCUGACGGAGCAAUGCCGCGUGAAGGAUGAAGGCCUAUGGGUUGUAAACUUCUUUUCUCAGAAAAGAAUUAUGACGGUAUCUGAGGAAUAAGCAUUGGCUAACUCUGUGCCAGCAGCCGCGGUAAGACAGAGGAUGCAAGCGUUAUCCGGAAUGAUUGGGCGUAAAGCGUCUGUAGGUUGUUUAAAAAGUAUUCUGUCAAAGAUUAGGGCUUAACCCUAGAUAGGCAGAAUAAACUUUUAAGCUAGAGUUUGGUAGAGGCAGAGGGAAUUCCCGUUGGAGCGGUGAAAUGCGGAGAUAUCGGGAGGAACACCAAAGGCGAAGGCACUCUGCUGGGCCAAUACUAACACUGAGAGACGAAAGCGAGGGGAGCAAAUGGGAUUAGAUACCCCAGUAGUCC